Molecule: ribosomal RNA, 492 nt
Filed under: uncultured bacterium
Lineage: Bacteria
Description: partial 16S ribosomal RNA
Rfam family: Bacterial small subunit ribosomal RNA
Source: RNAcentral
AGUGAACGCUGACGGUAGGCCUAACACAUGCAAGUCGAACGGCAGCACAGUAAGAGCUUGCUCUUACGGGUGGCGAGUGGCGGACGGGUGAGGAAUACAUCGGAAUCUACUUUUUCGUGGGGGAUAACGUAGGGAAACUUACGCUAAUACCGCAUACGACCUACGGGUGAAAGCAGGGGAUCUUCGGACCUUGCGCGAUUGAAUGAGCCGAUGUCGGAUUAGCUAGUUGGCGGGGUAAAGACCCACCAAGGCGACGAUCCGUAGCUGGUCUGAGAGGAGGAUCAGCCACACUGGAACUGGGACACGGUCCAGACUCCUACGGGAGGCAGCAGUGGGGAAUAUUGGACAAUGGGCGCAAGCCUGAUCCAGCCAUACCGCGUGGGUGAAGAAGGCCUUCGGGUUGUAAAGCCCUUUUGUUGGGAAAGAAAAGCAGCAGGUUAAUACCACGCUGUUCUGACGGUACCCAAAGAAUAAGCACCGGCUAACUUCGUG